AACCAUUCUUAUUUAUUUAUCAUAUUAUUUUCUCUGUUGUUUCAUUUCCCCCAUAUACCUGUAAAAAGCCUUUUUGAUUCCUCCUAAAUACUUUGUCACUUAUCAGUUUUACUUAUUUCCAGUUCAUACAUUGUACUCUCAAAUAUGGAAAUUGAUUUAUUUUAUUGUUCCUUUCUAUAGUAAAUAUAUUUUUUUCAUAUUUGCAGCCAUAGGCUUUUAUUCCUAUUUCUUGCCAAGGUGCAUCUGUGCUUGCUUCUAUGUAUUCUUCUCAAAAGUCUAGUGCCUUUUUUCUAUUACUUUUAUUUUUUUCCAAGUUUCCCUUUUUUUUUUUUUUAAUUUUUAAAGUGUUUUUUAUUCUGAGAGACAGAAGCUGGUUUUCCUUCCAAGAUACAACCUACAGGAUUAUAGCAAUGAUUCAUUUGGACAAUUCAAGUUGGUUAGCCACACACAUAAAAUUUCUCACCCACAAUUUUUGCAGCCUCCCUUCCCUCCUGCAGUCUGACAAGUUCCCUGUGUUGGAGAAAUAACAUAAUCCAUGCCUGAAAGGUAUGCAUUAACUGUACCUGACUAAAAUUCAUGCAGGUCAGGAAUCAUAGCUUGACCAUCCCUGUUUUAUAAUAGCUCACAAUGUGUGGAGUCAUCUUCCUUCACUUGAAGCCUUGAGCUGACAACUGGAACAAGUUCUUUUUUAACUUGUUCCAGUUAAAAAGGAACUGGAAAAAAUUAAUUUGUUUUUUUCUCCUAUGCUCUGAUUAGGAGGAUAAUAAACUGUCAGUCAUGUUCCUAGUACCUUUGGCUUGACAUACAGACCUGCCUUUUCCGCCCCCCUGGAAAUUGGUAACUCAUCCAGCAAAAAACUGAGCACAAGGGAAAGAUUUCUCUCAUGUGAGAAAUCUUAGCAAGUCCAUAACUACUGCUUUACCCUGUGCACAAAAGUCACAGAGUCCCUUCUGUACUGCAAAUCCACAACAAAAUAUGUGAACAAACAAACACUUAUCAAAGCAAGAGAUUUUUAAAACAGCCUUAAGGUGAGACAGAAAAGACCCAUACCAGUGUCUGUCUCCCAGGUAUACAUGAAAGACUUAGAAUAAGGCUUUCUCUGCAUGUACAUAUACAGAAAGGUUAUGUAGCAAGGGAGAUACUUGCCUUUUAUCCAUAAGAAGAAGAUGACAGCAGUACACCCAGGAAUCACAGUUCUUUGCUGAGUGAUGGGCCAAAGUGCAUCAGCAAACAAGCCUGCUUUGCCCUUGGUCUCCCACCAUUGCAGAUUUUGGUUCCUGCAGGAAAAAUCAAGCCUCUCUUCUAGCUGGGGAGUGCAGACCAACCCACAGAGCUGCACUGAGGCUGCUUCUCAGCUCAGGAGCUUCCCUGCUUUCAUCUGCUUCAUACAAGCCAGAAUCAUCUACAAUCACCCAAAAAGAGGCACUGGAUUAGUCUUUAUUCUGGAUUUAUUCUUCUUUCCAUAGAGAUUAUGGGGAGCCUAAUGGUGUGGGACCUAGAGUGGAAAGGUGAUGGGAUAGAUUAGGCAGAGGAGGAGGAGAAUGGUUGCGCACAUGCUCCCACAGGAGCUGCGUCGGUCUCCCAGGGAGGUUUCUGUUGAUUAUCUGUCAAUACUCAGGCCAUGGCAGCUCAACACCAAAGCAUUUUUCCCAAUCUGGGUGCAAGCAAAAAAUUUACUGGGAUACAGUGGAUAUGCUAAAACCCAAGUCAGUACAGAAAAACUGUAUUUACGACACAGCCUUGGCCUGCCUUUCAGGAUAUGUUAUUUUGAACAAUGGCUCCAGCCACUGUCAUAGUCCUCUCUUUUCCACACCUGAAACUUUCCUCAGGAAACAGGAUCACAAAAUUUGCUUUAACAGAGCUUUUCCCACCGAUUUGGCUGUACAUGUAGUAGAUGUGGCCUCUUAAACCAAAGGCAGUGGAGUUCUAUUUUUGUGAGGUCUUGCUCUGUCCUGGGUUUGACUUUCAUGUAUGUGGGAGAAAAUUAGCUCCUUCUAGAUUCUCAGAAUGCACUUACAAAAAGCUGCAGCAGAAAAACUGGAAUUAAUUGAAUACCAAGUGCUAUUAAACCUUCAGCUAGAUUACACGAGUUAAAAGUACAUCAGAGCUGUUGAAUUGUAACUAUUAAUGUAACACAAAGGAAAUGAAAUGAGAUCACCAGUGUUACUCAAAUGAAAUCUAAUGCUGUUCUCAUAAUGCAUUAUCAGGUUGGACGAUUGCUUGGUGGCUGAUAGGGCAAUUCCAGCACCCAAGCUCUUGACCAAACUAGUUAGAGUGAUUGGUUUUCCCGAUGCCAUGUGAACACCUGCAAUGACAUUACACCCUGUAAUUCACUAUUCAGAGAUGAAACAUUGCAGAGGACCUGGUCCCAUCUCUAUGCAGGAAGCAGUGUCAGUGCUGGUUUCCCUGUGCAGGCUUAGAGGGUUUUAAACUGGGUGCUAACUUACAGACCUAGACCAUGGCUUCACACAUGAGAUUUGCAAGUUCAAGGGCGUCACUCCAAGACAUUUAGGGUAAAUGGGGAUCACUUGUGCAAUGUCUCAACUUUUUAACCACCUCACAAAUUUUGUAACACAGGAGUAGCUGCUAGGUUAUUUCUACAUGAGUAAGUAUAGUGCCUUCUAAGGAUUCAGCAACCAAUACAAUCAAUCAAUCAAUCAUGCCAGAUAUACAUUUAUAGCCUCUUACCUCUCCAAGACUUUGCGGCAUCUAUCCAUUAGGCUUCCAGAGGAGGCUGUACAAGAUCAGCUGGUGCUAAGCAAGCCUAGCAGAGUCAUAGCACACAGCCUUGAUUUGCCACUGUUUUGUGUUUGUUUUGCCAAAUGCCUACCUUACAUUUGAAUUUUCUCAACUUAGGGAAAUUUGAAUGCUUGUCUCCUGUAUUCAAAGAAUAUCCUAAUUAUGAUGCAAGUAGCUACAGCCUUCAGGUGUAACUCAAUGCACUUUUGGUGUUGAACAAGAAAGCUGUUAAGAAGAGUCUUGUAGGUUUACACUUAGGAACAUCCAGGAAAAGAAGGUACCUAUCAUUUUAAUCAACUCCUGUGAUUAAUUUUAUUAUUUUAUGCAACAUAAAAAUGCAUUGCCACUACUUUUAUUUAUCAAUUUACUGAGUAUUUUGUGCAAUUGUUAUUCAAAUUCACUAAAAUGGAUUAAAAAUAGAAAUCUGAAUUGUUUAGGUAGCUCCAAGACUUGAGAAGAUGUCUGCAUAGUUAUAUUCUGGAUUUCUUUUAAUAUCUAAGUGUCAAAAGUGAAAAUGAACAUGACAGCUGUGAAAUACUCAACUUCAAUUGACAGCAUUUUAAAAUAAAGCCUCUGUGGCUUUGCAAAGGAAAUUUUGCUGGAUCUUGAAUAUAAAUGAACCGGUAAAACUAGCUCUGCUCAUUCCUCUUUUGUUAUCAGUGGACAGAAUGCUAGGCCACUGUGCCAGGGCAGACCACUUGCAUAAAGGUGGAAACUUUAGAGCCCAGGUCAGAAAUAUAGUCAGACUUUUUAUCUCAUCAGCACUGAGUGGAAGUUUCUUCUCCAGUUAAUUCUCAGGGCACUGCAGAGCAAAUUGAUUGAAAUGAGCCUGAAGGUGUAAUAGUAGCUGCCCACUGUAUGGGAUAUGCAUUGCUAAUUACUACUGAUGGAAAUCAUAAUUACUUGUGGCUACCUCUUGAAAAAGUAGACUUACUUUAUAAAAAAAAAGAAAAAAGAUAUUGUUAUUUCCUUCAUCUGCUUGGUGUGGGCUGGCUGCUUCAAUGCAUACCAAAUGUGGAGUUUUUAAGACAAAUUAUGAUUUCACUUCACUAUACUUAUAGGUCUGGGCUGCAUCUUUGCAAGACACUGUGCUCCUACAUUGCCAUCCAAAGUAAAAAGGCUUUUUUUUCUGUUCCUAUAAAGCCGUAUUACUAGUGAAGCUUUACAGAGGAGCAACAACUGGAGCAAUUUUCUGAAGAUGAAGUUAGCAAUAGUGCGGCUUUUAGUUCCACCUCUUAUGAAAUGCGUAUAACUUUUUUCCCAUAUAGUAGGGAAUUGUAAAUUAAUUCUUAUGUCUCCAUGGGUUUGAAAUGAAAACGAAGCCUUCACAGUUCAAUGAAGUGGAAAGUCUUUCAUCAGAAGAAAAUCAGCCAAGGAAUUGGAUGGCAAAGACCUCAUACAUUACAAAACAGUUGGUUGCAAUUAAGGCCAGGGGUAAGAUAUGCAUGAUUCGGUCAUGUUUCCUUUUGUCUAUUUAAUCAGCCUGAGGCAUAACAUCAGAUGGCUUGAAGUAGCAUUGUUUCCUUGUCAUAUCCUAUGUUUUGCUGUAUAUUAUAUGUACUUUAUAUGUACUGUAUCAAAGGACUACAGUCUGUUCAAAAUAUAGAUGUUUCAUAUCCUGAUCAAUAACCAACACACUUUCAUAGAAGCAUUAACAUUCUAAGGUAGUGAGCACUGCUGCUGAGGGGAAAUUAUUUUGGAGGUUGUUAGGGAAUCAUGUAGUAAUAACGUCAGAGUUAAAUUCCUUGUACCACAGCCCUUCUCUGUGGUCACAGUGGCAAAGACAAUGACAGCCUGUGCUGAUAUUUCUCUUUCUGUCUCACAAGACAUACAUUUCAGUGAGAGCUGUGGAUCACUGUGCACCAUGAGAAAAAAAUUUUGAAAUUAAUAAGAAGCUGAGUGGAAUCAAAGCUGAACUGAAAGUGAGCUAGACAUAAACUAAAAAGAGUCCAGUAGUUUGGUGACCAUCAGCUACUGAAGUCACGCCAUGCUACUGCCAGUUUUACUAAAAAUCUCAGAACAGCAGGUAAUCUUACUUACCAUAUGCUAAGCACGGUGCAGCAGAUGGACCAUGGCAUUCUAGUCUUUUCUGUGCUUUCCUUGCGCUUGUCAAUUCAAGCCCUGGGAAAAAGGCUGGUAUCCAGAUUGAUAACACAUGGAUGUUCUCUAAGGGCUUUCAUCAGUGCAUUAUUGCAGAAAGGACUGAAAAUCCUUUCUCUAUAAAUUCAAAUGAAGUUAGGGAUAGUUGGUGGUUCUGAAGAUGGUUUAUUAUGUCUGUCUCAAAGUUGUCAAAAGGUAAGUCAGCCUUUAAAAAACAGAUUAGCCAGAGCUGAUCAGCUGGUAGAAGAGUGCUAUGGAAUAUCACAUACAAAGUAUCUCCUCAAAGAAGCUCAUAAAUGAAGGAAAUAUCAUCUUAUAGGUACUGAUCAUGGUUAGUCUGGGCACAUGCCUGUUUCACUAGGAUGCAUGAGCCUUCAGCAACAAAAUCAAGUUGUUAUAAUGCAGAGACUCACUGGAUCUUAACUACUGAGUUUUAAAUAGUCUUUUUCUUUGUGAAAUAAAUUUUAUGUGGCAGACUCUAAAUUAAAUAGAAAACUAACAGCAGUGUAGCUAAGUAGACAGUUGGUGUCCUCAGAACUAAAGAGUACAUUAACAAAAAAUGUCUGAGAUUACUAUUAAAAUCACUUUUAAUAAUUUACCUAAAGUCCUUAUCUCUGUAAACAAGCUCUUUAAAAAGUGAAAUUUAACAUUAUUUAUUCUGCUUCUACCGUCUUUUAUAAAUCUGAGGACCAAGCAUGCUCAGGGACCUUUAAUAAGUAUUAAGUAGUGUGGCAAGUAUUUUUUCAAGAAACUAAUUAGACAAUCCAUAGCAUUUUCGAGGUGAGUAAGGAAGGAAGAUAAAACUUCUGUUAUCAUAUCCUUAUGUUUAUUAUCAGAUUUUAAAGUUACUACCCAAAUUUCUCUGAUUCACUUUGCAUAUUUAUUCUAGCAAAAUGAUAACGUAAGAAGGCUUAGAGGACUGCUUGGGGACACCUCUUCAGUGGGUUCAAGGUGUUUUUGGCUAAGUACAAAAAAGAGGAAGGCACCCAGUGCUAUUACCUCUGAAGCCUAUCCUUUCCCACUGGAGGCGUCCAAUGACUGCCAACCACUCGAACAUGGAAAUGUCUUGAUAUUUUCUUUGUUUUAAUGCCCUGCACAGAGCAUUAAAUUCCUGGCCACUUCUAGUGACAGAUACUGAUUUUAAAAUAUGUUUGCUCUGAUCCAGAGCAGUUUUAGUGACAUUACUCAUCCUUUAAAGCCAGUUAAUCUUCUGGCUGCCUAGUGAACUGAAGUAGCUUCACAUGGAAGGGGCAGGUAAUUAUGAGAGUCAGUGCAAAUGGGUGGGAAAGAGCACAUUGUAUGAGGAGAGAGACUGGGAUCUUGGCAAGCAUGAGCUGAGUUGACUUAAAUUGCCAUGGGAUUGUAGACUCCUUUUACACACCUGGUUUCUAAAGUUAUUUUUACACAGGAAAGAAAUAGCAUUUUAAAAGAAAGCAAAGAUACCACUCCCUGUGACAUUCAGCUCCUGACUCCCCCUCAUGAAGCAAGGUCCUUUGUGGACUUCCUGGUCUCUGUAGUCUUCUCAGCCUGUCCUGAAACCAGCAGCAGUGAUCUGUAGGACUGCCAUUAAUAAAAGGUCUCUCCUAUCACAGGGUUCCAGUAAAUUCCAGCAUGAGAAUAGAUCAGCUAUCCAGGGAGUAAAUAUGUACCCUGUGGUGCUUCCAUAACCUGGGUUUGAGCAGUGGCUGGACUGGCUUGUGACACUGGGUUUCCAGUUUCUCUGUGGUCUGUACAACAUUGAACCAAUGAGCAGUACCCAAUAAGAACUAAAUGGUAUAGAGAGAUUUUUCACAAGGUCACAGCAUAGUUGAGGUUGGAAGAAAAAUGCAACCCCCACUGCUCAAGCAGAGACACCCAAACCCAGUUGCCCAGGACAGUGUUCAAAUGGCUUUUGAAUAUCUCCAAUGAUGGAAAAUCUACAACUUCUCUGGGCAACCCAUGCCAGUGCUUUACCUGCACAUUAUAAAAGUGCUUCCUGAUGUUCAGAUGGUGGUCCUGUGUUUUUAGCUUGUGGCCAUUUUCUUUUAAAAAUCCUGGACUAUUAUAAUGAAACAUGUUGCUAAAAAUGGUCUGUCUUUUUUAUUCUUAGAGAUUGUGGCAAAAAAAAAAAAAA
Long non-coding RNA from Taeniopygia guttata (zebra finch), 6952 nucleotides. The record is from Ensembl. Lineage: Eukaryota; Metazoa; Chordata; Aves; Passeriformes; Estrildidae.